CCUCCUUUCUAAGGAAAUUUCUUAAUGAAAAUAAAUCUUCGUGAUUUAUGAUCUUUUGAAAUUCUUGGAACAUAAUGUCAGAUUUAUCUGACAAAACAUUGCUGGAUUGUCGCCAUCUUCGUUUCUCUUUCUCAGGAUUAAGUUAUACCCUAAUCGGAAUAGCGGGCCUGUAGCUCAGCUUGGUUAGAGCGCACGCCUGAUAAGCGUGAGGUCGGUAGUUCAAGUCUACCCAGGCCCACCAUAUCUUAAUCUUUUGAAUCAUAGAUUCGGAAAGAGUCUGUUCAUUAACAUUGUAAAGAGAAAUAUUUUGAUCAUAUCAUAUACAUGCAUAUUAUUUGUAUUAUGAGUGGUGCCUGCACGGGCACAGUUAGUUCUUUAACUUUCAAAGUAUAAGUAGAAUAGAUUAUAAAUUUUAUAAUCAAAAUGGUCUUUUUGUGAUAUUUAUUAAAUCCUUACAACCGAUUUAAUGGAUGUCAAAAAAGUGAAUAACCGUUGUAAUAUGUAUCAAUUCAGUACGUA
This 519-nucleotide unclassified non-coding RNA is filed under the name uncultured Alphaproteobacteria bacterium. RNAcentral's name for it is "partial 16S-23S ribosomal RNA intergenic spacer". The stretch from base 164 to 238 matches the Rfam family "tRNA". The record is from RNAcentral. Lineage: Bacteria; Pseudomonadati; Pseudomonadota; Alphaproteobacteria.